Molecule: long non-coding RNA, 409 nt
Organism: Passer domesticus (house sparrow)
Lineage: Eukaryota; Metazoa; Chordata; Aves; Passeriformes; Passeridae
Exons: 5
Source: RefSeq, a predicted model, not a curated record
AGAAAAUGUUCUGGUAUUUUCAAGGCUUGUUCAAAACAGCAAACAUGCGAAAUCUUCAGAGAAAUUGCUGAUUACACUUCAUCUCAAAGAAUCCAGAACGCGUGAUUUACAAUUGAUUUUCUACAUUUUGAAUCUCUACACAAUGCAGCAGCUUGCCUUCUCCCCAGGAUCUAGAGAUGGCGGAAACAUAAUGUGCAGUCCUGGGGAGUAAUCACAGCCACGUUUAGCCCACUGAAGACCCACCAAGUAGAGAAGUCAGGAAAAAGAAUAAAAUGAAGGCAAAGAGGACAAGAGACAAAAAGCUGGGGAAAAAGGCUUCUUCCUCACCAUAUGGACUAGACCAGAUUUAUCUGCUGCCUGUUGUCCUUCAUGGGACAUGAGGCGCAUUCUGUUGAGUGAUGGAUCGUGU